UAAGCCUGGGAAACUGGGUCUAAUACCGGAUAGGACCGCACUUUAGUGUGUGUGGUCCGGAAAGUUUUUUCGGUGUAGGAUGAGCCCGCGGCCUAUCAGCUUGUUGGUGGGGUAAUGGCCUACCAAGGCGGCGACGGGUAGCCGGACUGAGAGGUUGGUCGGCCACAUUGGGACUGAGAUACAGCCCAG
RNAcentral lists this ribosomal RNA (189 nucleotides) under uncultured Actinomycetales bacterium. RNAcentral describes it as "partial 16S ribosomal RNA". It matches the Rfam family "Bacterial small subunit ribosomal RNA", at positions 144 to 334 of the family's 1533-position model. Lineage: Bacteria; Bacillati; Actinomycetota; Actinomycetes; Actinomycetales. The record is from RNAcentral.